This is a non-coding RNA of Callorhinus ursinus (northern fur seal), 310 nucleotides long. The record is from RefSeq and is a predicted model, not a curated record. Lineage: Eukaryota; Metazoa; Chordata; Mammalia; Carnivora; Otariidae.
CUCUUUCGAUCUAAUGACCACUUUGUCAAGCUCAUUUCCUGGUAUGACAAUGAAUUUGGCUACAGCAACCGGGUGGUGGACCUUAUGGUCCGCAUGGCCUCCAAAAUGUAAGAGCUCCCUGGACCACCAGUCCCAGCAAGAGGAAGAGAGAGGCCCUCAGCUGCUGGGGAGCAGCCCCAACUCAUCCCCCAACACACUGAGAAUCUCCCAACCUCCACAGUUUCCAUCCCAGAUCCCCUGAAUUAGGAGAGGGGCUUGGGGAGCCCUACCUUGUCAAGUACAAUCAAGAAAGUAUACUGUACCCAGUACC